UCUGAACGAUGCAAGUCCACGAGAAUGGGGCCGCAAGGCUCCUAGUAAAGUGGCGAACGGGUGAGUAACACGUGCGUAACCUGCCUUUGGAAGGGGGAUAACACCUCGAAAGAGAUGCUAAUACCCCAUAGAGUUGUGUGGCAUAGGUCAUGCAAUGAAAGAUAGCCUCUAUUCAAAGCUGUUGUCCAAAGAUGGGCGCGCGGCCUAUUAGCUAGUUGGUGAGGUAAUGGCUCACCAAGGCGACGAUGGGUAGCCGUCCUUAGAGGGUUGUCGGCCAUACUGGAAUUGAGAUACGGUCCAGACUCCUACGGGAGGCAGCAGUGGG
This 325-nucleotide small RNA is filed under the name uncultured bacterium. RNAcentral describes it as "bacterial SSU rRNA". It matches the Rfam family "Bacterial small subunit ribosomal RNA", at positions 55 to 353 of the family's 1533-position model. The record is from RNAcentral.